GGCAGGAGUAGCGUCGGAAGCAAUGGAUCCCCACGCAAUUGCACACCAACGCUAGGGGAUGAUCUCGCCCCAGCUGACUCAUUUUCUCAUUCGUGCAGCAGACAUUUAUUGAGCGCCUACUGUAUGGAUGGAUACUGUACGCCAGAGAACCGCUGCGUGGCGCUCCAAUUCAGUUCUUCACAUCCACACAGCCCUGGAGGAUUUACAAAAUACAUUAAGGUUCCUUAUCCCUCACUUUACAGAUCCGAUAUGCCUGAGUACACACCCCGUAUCUUGCCACUUAACGGCAAUCUGUGUGACCCUAGGUCACUACUUGGCUUCUCUGGGCCUCAGUUUCCUCAUCUGUAAAAUGGGGCAGUAAUUGAUAGCAAUCUAUCUCAUAGAGCUGUCCUUCUGCUAACAAAUAUUCAUGGAAUGAUUCCUAUGAGCCAUAUACUGUUGAAGGUGCUGGAUGUUCCUGUUAAGGCCUCUAAAAAUCGUAGUGAUAAUAAUAACGGUAACAGUGUUUAUUUAUUGAUACUUAUAAUGUGCCAGACGCUGUUCUAAAUGCCUUACAUAUAUUAAUUCAACAACCUCAUGAAGCUAGAUUAUUACAUCCCAAUUUGACAGCUGAGAAAACCGUCUCAAUAACCAAUUUACCCAACUAGCAAAAUGUGAGGCCAAAAUUCCAACCCAGCUUACCUAAACAAUCAACUUUGAUAUCUGACCAUGUGCCUCUAAUAUUUUGUCUUGAAAAGGGCUCAGCGGUCAUCUGUGUAGUAUUCAAACAUGUUUGCCCUGAAUCUAAUCAUUGGAAAACAGACAUAUCCAAAAGAAGGGACAUACUUCAAAACAACUGGCCUGAAAACUUCAAAAAAAGUCAAUGUUGUGAAAUACACAUGGGGAAUAAGGGGUGGGGGACAGAGAAAGGAGGCGGAUAUGCAAUUGCCUAGAUUUAAGAACACUAAAGAUGUGCAUCAACUAAAUGCAAUGGGCCAGGUGUGGUGGCUCAUGCCUAUAAUCCCAGCACUUUGGGAGGCUGUGGCAAGCAGAUCAUUUGAGGUCAGGAGUUUGAGACUAGCCUCGCCAACAUGGUGAAACCCUGUCUCUACCAAAAAUAUAAAA
Homo sapiens (human) is the source of this 1104-nucleotide long non-coding RNA. The record is from Ensembl. NCBI's taxonomy places the organism in Eukaryota, Metazoa, Chordata, Mammalia, Primates, Hominidae.